GUGCCAGCCGCCGCGGUAAUACGUAGGCAGCAAGCGUUGUUCGGAGUUACUGGGCGUAAAGAGUGCGUAGGCGGUCCCGUAAGUUUGUUGUGAAAUCUCCCGGCUUAACUGGGAGGGUGCGGCGAAAACUGCGGGGCUGGAGUAUGGGAGAGGUAGGCGGAAUUCCUGGUGUAGCGGUGAAAUGCGUAGAUAUCAGGAGGAACACCGGUGGUGUAGACGGCUUACUGGACCAUGACUGACGCUGAGGCACGAAAGCGUGGGGAGCAAACAGGAUUAGAUACCCUAGUAGUCC
This 292-nucleotide ribosomal RNA is filed under the name uncultured bacterium. RNAcentral describes it as "partial 16S ribosomal RNA". It matches the Rfam family "Bacterial small subunit ribosomal RNA", at positions 505 to 796 of the family's 1533-position model. The record is from RNAcentral.